Arvicola amphibius (Eurasian water vole) is the source of this 514-nucleotide long non-coding RNA. RefSeq lists it as uncharacterized. The record is from RefSeq and is a predicted model, not a curated record. Lineage: Eukaryota; Metazoa; Chordata; Mammalia; Rodentia; Cricetidae. The transcript has 2 exons.
GGGAGUGGGUGCAGAGCUGGGGUCAGGGAAAGCUGGAGUGUUCUACAGACCCAGGGCAUAGCCAUGACCCUCACCUUCAAGAGUCUUCCAUUCCCUCCCCUCCUAGAGUCUCCUCAGUCCACCAUUCCCAUCAGGACCGUUGUUGGUGCUGUCCUUGGAGCUGUGGUCUUAGGUUUUGUCAUUGGUGUGCUGAUGUGGGUGAGGAAGAGCACAGGUGGAAAAGAAGGCUAUGCUCCUACGUCAGUUCAGUAUGACAGGGAAGAAGAAUCAUCCCAGAGUCCCUGAGGAACUUGAGUGGAGACUGAGCUGAUUGUUUCUCCUCCAGCCCCACUUGUCAAUCUCCUGACUGUGUCUGGUUAUUUCUACUGCAGGCAGGGACAGUGUCCAGAGCUCUGACUUGUCUCUGGAGGCUUGAAAAGGUGAUGCCCUGGGGCCUGGGUGCUGAGGGACAAUGGUUUUACCCUGUAAACAUGUGUUUCUCAUACUUGUUUAAUAAAAUGCUAAUUGGCUGGUA